RNAcentral lists this ribosomal RNA (119 nucleotides) under Lepisosteus oculatus (spotted gar). The record is from RNAcentral. Lineage: Eukaryota; Metazoa; Chordata; Actinopteri; Semionotiformes; Lepisosteidae.
GCCAGCAGCCAUAUCACUCUGUAACUCACCACUGGCAGCCCAAUGGAGCUCAGCAGGUGUGAGCCUGGUCAGUACCUGGGGGAGAGACCUCCUGGGAAAAACUCAGGCUGCUGCUGGAA